This is a non-coding RNA of Schizosaccharomyces pombe (fission yeast), 378 nucleotides long. Lineage: Eukaryota; Fungi; Ascomycota; Schizosaccharomycetes; Schizosaccharomycetales; Schizosaccharomycetaceae. The record is from the annotation of a GenBank genome assembly.
AUGUUUGUAGUGCGUAUUCUUCGGGACAUGAAAUAAAUUCUUAGGAAAAAAAAUCUCGUUUAUUAAACGUACAAAACAAUUUAGUGUCUAGUGUUCUAGUUCAUCAAGUUUUUAAAAACGUUCGAAUGCAAUCUCAUUAUCAUUCAAUCGGUUCUAGUACUUCUUAGACUACUCGUUACAUUCAAAACAUAUACAUUGGUAAUGCAUUAAUCGGUUUUUAUAUCUCCUCAAGCGUUAAAAAUGCUACAGCUCACAGUUGCCGUGCAGAAAAAAACUGUAAAGAAAGAGUUGAAAGAAACAAGAACUAAUAUUUAAGAAGGAGCAGAUUAAUCUCCUUUGGAUUUUAAUGAACACAUUAAAUUGAUUAUCAUAUUGCUA